RNAcentral lists this ribosomal RNA (234 nucleotides) under uncultured bacterium. RNAcentral's name for it is "partial 16S ribosomal RNA". It matches the Rfam family "Bacterial small subunit ribosomal RNA", at positions 15 to 241 of the family's 1533-position model. The record is from RNAcentral.
GAUCAUGGCUCGGGAUGAACGCUAGCUACAGGCUUAACACAUGCAAGUCGAGGGGCAGCAUGAACUUAGCUUGCUAAGUUUGAUGGCGACCGGCGCACGGGUGAGUAACACGUAUCCAACCUUCCGUUUACUCAGGGAUAGCCUUUCGAAAGAAAGAUUAAUACCUGAUAGUAUGGUGAGAUUGCAUGAUAGCACCAUUAAAGAUUUAUUGGUAAACGAUGGGAUGCGUUCCAG